AAAUGCAAUAUUUGGUUUUGGCUUGUGGUUGCCCUGUUUUUUAAGUAUGCUAACCCCUUCCCAUAAUUGUGUGUUUUAGCCUGAUGGUCCUGUAAGUUCAAACACUUCAUUAUUAUAUUAAAAUUAAGAAGAGAGACAUACAUACAAACAAAAAGGAUUAUUUACCUCCUAACAUCCCUUGCCCACAUUUUAUGGUUUUGAUGACUCUUUUAUUUUUUUCUUUUUAAUUUUAUUUUGUUUGAAGCAUGUUCAUGAUUAAAUCUGUAUGCUGGCUUAUUUGAGUGACUGCUCUCUGAUUGUAUCUUCCUCAGUCCUAGUUCUUCCUCUUCUUCUUCUUCUUUUUUUUUUUUCUUUUCUUUUUUCUUCCCUUUCCUUCCUUUCUUUUUGGUUUAGAGAAGCCCUUUCAAUAUUUCCUUUAACCUGGGUUUUGUGUUGCUGUAUUCUUUAAGUUUUUGUUUGUUGGGAAAAAUUUUUAUUUCCCUUCUAUUUUAAAUGAUAUUCUUGCUGGAUAAAGUAUUCUAGGUUGCAUAUUUUUUCCUUUGAGCACUUUAAAUAUCUCUUGCCAUUCCCUCCUGGCCUGUAGUGUUUCUGUAGAGAAAUCAGCUGAUAUUCUUAUGGGGGUUCCCUUGUAGGUAACAUUCUGUUUUUCUCUUGCUGCCUUGAGGAUCCUCUCUUUAUCACUAACUUUUGCCAUUUUUAUUAUGAUGUGUCUUGGUGUGGGUCUGUUUGGGUUCAGUUUGUUUGGGGCCCUCUGUGCUUCUUGUAUCUUGAAUCCAGUAUCCUUUAGAUUUGGGAAGUUUCCAGCAAUAAUUUCUUCAAAUAUAUUUUCCAUUCCCUUAUCUUUUUCUACUCCUUCUGGAAUUCCUAUUAUGCGUAGAUUGGCCCGUUUUAUAUUAUCCCAUAGGUCUCUUAUAUUGCUUUCCAGUUUUUUGAUUCGGUUUUCUGUCUGUUGACCAGAUUGAGUGAUUUCCAUUAUUCUAUCUUCCAUAUCACUGAUUCGUUCUUCUGCAUUAUUCAUUCUGGUUUUUACUGCCCCUAGUUCAGUUUGCAUCUCUGCAAAUGAAUGUUCUAGUUUUUCUUGGCUCCUCCUUAUAUUUUCUAGCUCCUUUCUGAGGGUAUCUGCAUUGCUGUUCAUAUCUUCUCUUAAUUCCUUCAGUAUUUUCACUAUUUCUCUUUUGAACUCCAUGUCUGUCAGACUGCAGAGAUCAGUUUCAUUGUUGACUGUUUUAGGUGAGUUCUCCUGUUGGUUUGACUGGGGGUGGUUUCUCAGCUUCUUCAUCUUGCUUGUUGUCUUCUUUCUCCUGAGGGAGUUGUACUCUCCGUUAUCGGGUAGUGUUUGCCUUGUCACUGCCCUGGAAUAUUUCCUGAGGGCUGUCGUUGUUGGUCAAUCUUUUUUUGAGGCAGUGUGGCUUUUCUGGAGUGUUGAUGGGGCUAACAGUGUUUCUUUGAAGCAAAGGAGGACUUCCUGAGGGCAGACAGGACUGGGAGGUCCACCCCACGAUGGUAGCAGAUUUCACUUGGUUCUCAGCACCCCCUGGGGUCUUGGGCGGGUAGCAGGGCCCUUGGAGACUCAAGAGGUUCCUCCCCAGGGCAGCCCGACUCAGAAAGACCGUCUGAGAUCUUUUCCCGAUUCCGCCAGGCUUGUUGCAGCUUUUCUGGGCUGCAGGGGGUCCUGCCUGGAGCUGGCAGUCCUAUGCAGCUGGUCCACUAGGUCUCAGCACCCCUUGGGGUCUUGGGCGGGUAGCAGGGCCUUUGGAGACUCAAGAGGCUCCUCCCCAGAACAGCCCGACUCAGAAAGACCGUCUGAGAUCUUUUCCCAAGUCGGCCAGGCUUGUUGCAGCUUUUCUGGGCUGCAGGGGGUCCUGCCUGGAGCUGGCAGUCCUAUGCAGCUGGUCCACUAGGUCUCAGCACCCCUUGGGGUCUUGGGCGGGUAGCAGGGCCCUUGGAGACUCAAGAGGCUCCUCCCCAGGGCAGCCCGAUUCAGAAAGACCGUUUGAGAUCUUUUCCCGAUUCGGCCAGGCUUGUUGCAGCUUUUCUGGGCUGCAGGGGGUCCUGCCUGGAGCUGGCAGUCCUAUGCAGCUGGUCCACUAGGUCUCAGCACCCCCUGGGGUCUUGGGCGGGUAGCAGGGCCCUUGGAGGCUCAAGAGGCUCCUCCCCAGGACAGCCCGACUCAGAAAGACCGUCUGAGAUCUUUUCCCGAUUCCGCCAGGCUUGUUGCAGCUUUUCUGGGCUGCAGGGGGUCCUGCCUGGAGCUGGCAGUCCUAUGCAGCUGGUCCACUAGGUCUCAGCACCCCUUGGGGUCUUGGGCGGGUAGCAGGGCCUUUGGAGACUCAAGAGGCUCCUCCCCAGAACAGCCCGACUCAGAAAGACCGUCUGAGAUCUUUUCCCAAGUCGGCCAGGCUUGUUGCAGCUUUUCUGGGCUGCAGGGGGUCCUGCCUGGAGCUGGCAGUCCUAUGCAGCUGGUCCACUAGGUCUCAGCACCCCUUGGGGUCUUGGGCGGGUAGCAGGGCCCUUGGAGACUCAAGAGGCUCCUCCCCAGGGCAGCCCGAUUCAGAAAGACCGUUUGAGAUCUUUUCCCGAUUCGGCCAGGCUUGUUGCAGCUUUUCUGGGCUGCAGGGGGUCCUGCCUGGAGCUGGCAGUCCUAUGCAGCUGGUCCACUAGGUCUCAGCACCCCCUGGGGUCUUGGGCGGGUAGCAGGGCCCUUGGAGGCUCAAGAGGCUCCUCCCCAGGACAGCCCGACUCAGAAAGACCGUCUGAGAUCUUUUCCCGAUUCCGCCAGGUUUGUUGCAGCUUUUCUGGGCUGCAGGGGGUCCUGCCUGGAGCUGGCAGUCCUAUGCAGCUGGUCCACUAGGUCUCAGCACCCCCUGGGGUCUUGGGCGGGUAGCAGGGCCCUUGGAGACUCAAGAGGCUCCUCCCCAGGACAGCCUGACUCAGAAAGACCGUCUGAGAUCUUUUCCCGAUUCCGCCAGGCUUGUUGCAGCUUUUCUGGGCUGCAGGGGGUCCUGCCUGGAGCUGGCAGUCCUAUGCAGCUGGUCCACUAGGUCUCAGCACCCCUUGGGUCUUGGGCGGGUAGCAGGGCCCUUGGAGACUCAAGAGGUUCCUCCCCAGGACAGCCCGACUCAGAGAGACCGUCUGAGAUCUUUUCCCAAUUCGGCCAGGCUUGUUGCAGCUUUUCUGGGCUGCAGGGGGUCCUGCCUGGAGCUGGCAGUCCUAUGCAGCUGGUCCACUAGGUCUUAGCACCCCCUGGGGUCUUGGGCGUGUAGCAAGGCCCUUGGAGACUCAAGAGGCUCCUCCCCGGGGGAGCCCGUCUCAGAAAAACCGUCGGAGAAUUAGGUCGAUCUAUUCACGGCCUGGCUAGGCUUGUUCUAGCUUUUCUGGGCUGCAGGCCUUUUCUAGGGGCCUGGUGGUGUUUGGUGCUGCUCUGUGGAAGUGUAGCCCCUCCAAAGGGCAAGCAGGCCUGUGCAGGGAGAGCCCCUGCGGUGGUAGGCUUCAGGCAAUUGUUGAGGCCAGCCCUCCUGGAUGGCAGGCAGCCCCAGGUUCGGCGAGAGCGUAGGGGGUGGCGGGGGUGGGGGGAGGGAAUGCACUGGGAAGCACAGCUUUCUGCUAGCUAGCGGGCCUGUAAGCUUGCUGUGGCGUGGGGGUAUUCUAUGGGGACCCACCCCUUCUUCUCUCCCCUCCCCAGCACGGGCGCAGACCAGGCUCUUCUCCCAGGUUCCCUCUGAGGCGGCUUUCCACUUCCCCGCCCCUAGAGUAUUGCUCCCUUCCUCUGCGACAGCUUUGUUUUCUAGUCUCCCAGGCAGUCUCUGCCCCGUCAAAUGGUUUAGAGACCUCCCAAGCAGUUUCCGCUCUUCCCCGCCCCCUAGCCCGGGGACUAAUCUCUGGAGCCGAGGUCUCGGUGCCCAGCCCCCACCCAGGCGGCGCCCCCCGGCCCUUUCUUGGGGACUAACCUUCGGAGGCGAGGUCUCUGUGCCCAGCCCCAACCCAGGCGUCCCCCGGCCCCCUCUCGGGGACCAACCUUCAGAGCUGAGGUCUCGGUGCCCAGCCCCCACCCAGGCGUCCCCCGGCCCUUUCCCGGGGACUAACCUCUGGAGCCGAGGAUUCGGUGCCCAGCCCCCACCCAGGCGUCUCAAUUUUUGGUGACUGUGCCCGUAGUUCAGAUGGUCCGUUGGGUUCUUGAUCGUUUUUCCGUACUCCGACUUACUGCUACACUCUUCUCUGCAUCUGGAGAUUCCUCCCGUUCGUUUGAUCUUUCCCCCGGUAGGAGACUUUCCAGGGUGCGGGAUCCCUUUCUCCUCCGCAGUUCCCUUUCGGGAGCGCCCGUCCCGCUCGGAUUCACCUUCUCUCACUCUCCUCUUUUCU
This 4359-nucleotide long non-coding RNA is filed under the name Sus scrofa (pig). RNAcentral's name for it is "lncRNA (ENSSSCG00000049768.1)". Lineage: Eukaryota; Metazoa; Chordata; Mammalia; Artiodactyla; Suidae. The record is from RNAcentral.